UGUAGAUGAACUCCAAGAAAGAGGUAAUUGGCCGGUGACUGGGCGGAGAUAACCACAAAGCGCGUGCCAACUGAGCCAAUGCCGGUGACUGGGCGGAGCGGAGAAGCGCGCGACAACUGUGCCAAUGGAGCGGGACACGGAUGUCAGCUGGGAGCGCACAACAACACCGCGGAUGUAACGGGAAACACUGCACACCUACCUAAGCUGAUAAAACGACAAGAGGACGGAUGUAACGGGAAUCUCUGGGCAGCUGCGCUGAUAAAACGGGACACGACAAGAGGAUGGAUGUAACGGGAAACGCUGCUCACCUGCGCUCAUUAAACGGGACACGACAAGAGGAGGCAGCCAAGCGUGAACCACCUGUGCGCACGGAGAUGGUGGUGAGCUUUGCGCAGACAGCAAGCCGUUAGCAGAUAGUCUAGUGGUAUGAUCAUUGAAUUCUACACAUGUGUUGAUGGACAGAAGGCUCCUGGACACUGCACAAUCAUUUGGAACGAUCUGAUCGCUCCCCGGACUCAGCAAAACGCGCGUCUGUGACAGCAGCUUUGCGCAGGAGUUCACGUGACCAAAACAUAGCAGAGACACGCGGUAAAAACGUCACCACUGCAUGACUGUCACACCUGAGUAGGAGAUCAGAAGCAUCCUUUAAGGAUUAGACACCGUGAAACAUGGAUGCACCUGCUGGAAGACUGGGAGACUAGCUCUGCACCAGUUAACCCAUUAAACCUUCAUGCUAAUCGUGCAGCAUCUCAGUAACACACUUUGGAUGACUUCACCUCCUCCAGCCAGCCAAACCUAAUGGGAAGGAUCAUCUUGGCGUGCAGAGGUCAGCUAGACUGCCCUAGAGGUGUGCCACAGAUGACACUUGUCACGAUUUGAGGAGGAUGGUUUGGACCCAAGACGCAGAACCCAGGAUGUCAAAAGGCAGAAGGUGGUUCAAAGUAAAAUCCUUUUAGUUUAGGACAAAGAAAAAAAGUAAUCCGAGGCAGCGAGCCAAAGUCCAAAACGUCCUGGAGAACAGGAACACCCAAAGCUCUUCUUAGAGCACAAAAACCUGGAGACAAAGUUCAUACAGAGCACGAGCAACGCAGACAACAUACCACAAUGAACCGACAUCAGACACAGACCAGACAGAGCUUAUAUACACAGGGAGAAGUGAUUAGGGAAAAUGGCAGCAGGUGUGUGAAGUGAGAGCUGGAGGGAAGACAGGUGAACCUAAUAAUCAAAAUGGGCAAACAGAAACAGAGGAGGGCCAAAUAAACCUAAGAAACUCUAA
Non-coding RNA from Nothobranchius furzeri (turquoise killifish), 1276 nucleotides. Lineage: Eukaryota; Metazoa; Chordata; Actinopteri; Cyprinodontiformes; Nothobranchiidae. The record is from RefSeq and is a predicted model, not a curated record.